RNAcentral lists this ribosomal RNA (331 nucleotides) under uncultured bacterium. RNAcentral describes it as "bacterial SSU rRNA". It matches the Rfam family "Bacterial small subunit ribosomal RNA", at positions 568 to 898 of the family's 1533-position model. The record is from RNAcentral.
CGCGUAGGCGGCCUUUGAAGUCAGGCGUGAAAGCCCCGGGCUCAACCUGGGAACUGCGCUUGAUACUCUUGGGCUUGAGUUCGGGAGAGGAGAGUGGAAUUCCCAGUGUAGAGGUGAAAUUCGUAGAUAUUGGGAAGAACACCGGUGGCGAAGGCGGCUCUCUGGACCGAAACUGACGCUGAGGCGCGAAAGCGUGGGGAGCAAACAGGAUUAGAUACCCUGGUAGUCCACGCUGUAAACGAUGUGUGCUAGACGUUGGGGGGCCUAGCCCUCCGGUGUCGCCGCUAACGCUUUAAGCACACCGCCUGGGGAGUACGGCCGCAAGGUUAAA